UGGGGAAUCUUGCACAAUGGGGGCAACCCUGAUGCAGCGACGCCGCGUGAGCGAUGAAGCCCUUCGGGGCGUAAAGCCCUUUCGACCGGAACGAUAAUGACGGUACCGGGAGAAGAAGCUGCGGCUAUCUACGUGCCAGCAGCCGCGGUAAUACGUAGGCAGCAAGCGUUGUUCGGAGUUACUGGGCGUAAAGAGUGCGUAGGCGGUUUGGCAAGAAAGAUGUGAAAUCCCAGGGCUUAACCUUGGAACUGCAUUUUUAACUGCCAGGCUAGAGUAUGUCAGAGGGGGGUAGAAUUCCACGUGUAGCAGUGAAAUGCGUAGAGAUGUGGAGGAAUACCGAUGGCGAAGGCAGCCUCCUGGGAUAAUACUGACGCUCAGGCACGAAAGCGUGGGGAGCAAACA
This 402-nucleotide ribosomal RNA is filed under the name uncultured bacterium. RNAcentral's name for it is "bacterial SSU rRNA". It matches the Rfam family "Bacterial small subunit ribosomal RNA", at positions 355 to 774 of the family's 1533-position model. The record is from RNAcentral.